RNAcentral lists this ribosomal RNA (475 nucleotides) under uncultured Moraxellaceae bacterium. RNAcentral's name for it is "bacterial SSU rRNA". It matches the Rfam family "Bacterial small subunit ribosomal RNA", at positions 40 to 496 of the family's 1533-position model. The record is from RNAcentral. Lineage: Bacteria; Pseudomonadati; Pseudomonadota; Gammaproteobacteria; Moraxellales; Moraxellaceae.
CGGUAACUUUUAACAUGCAAGUCGAGCGGUAACAGACAUAAAGAUUCAGCUUGCUGAAUCCGGUGCUGACGAGCGGCGAACGGGUGAGUAACGCGUAGGAAUCUACCCAGUAGCGGGGGAUAGCCCGAGGAAACUCGGAUUAAUACCGCAUACGCCCUGAGGGGGAAAGGGGGCAGUUUACUGCUCUCACUAUUGGAUGAGCCUGCGUAAGAUUAGCUUGUUGGUGGGGUAAUGGCCUACCAAGGCAACGAUCUUUAGCUGGUCUGAGAGGACGAUCAGCCACAUUGGGACUGAGACACGGCCCAGACAUCUACGGAUGGCAGCAGUUAAGAAUAUUGGACAAUGGGGGCAACCCUGAUCCAGGUAUACCGCGUGUGUGAAGAAGGCCCUAGGGUUGUAAAGCACUUUAAUCAGAGAAGAAGCAUCUUAAGUUAAUACCUUAUUAUGUUGACGUUACCUGAAGAAUAAGGACCGG